AACGAACGCUGGCGGCAGGCCUAACACAUGCAAGUCGAAGGAGAAGCUUGACUUCGGUCGAGUGGAAACUGGCGCACGGGUGAGUAACGCGUGGGAAUCUACCCUGAGGUGGGGAAUAACCGCUGGAAACGGCGGCUAAUACCGCAUGUGCCCUAUGGGGCAAAGCUCCGGCGCCUUGGGAUGAGCCCGCGUUAGAUUAGGUAGUUGGUGAGGUAAAAGCUCACCAAGCCGACGAUCUAUAGCUGGUCUGAGAGGAUGAUCAGCCACACUGGGACUGAGACACGGCCCAG
RNAcentral lists this ribosomal RNA (290 nucleotides) under uncultured bacterium. RNAcentral describes it as "partial 16S ribosomal RNA". It matches the Rfam family "Bacterial small subunit ribosomal RNA", at positions 29 to 334 of the family's 1533-position model. The record is from RNAcentral.